AGGUUUUGGAUGGAAGUAAACAAGGCCACUGUUGUUCUUACUGCUACAGGUACUAAACAGUGCUUCAGAUCGCAAUAGAUGUUUUUUCUAGUGUUGUUCAGGGCACCAAUACUAUCGUGCACUGAUUGGAGUAGUGAUUUUACUGACGACCCUUUUCUUCCCGGACCCGGUGAUAAUACAGAAUACUGGACCAUACUAGUUCUUGAUCAGUGAUCACCGCUGAAUACCUAGUGUCUUCC
This 239-nucleotide long non-coding RNA is filed under the name Sorghum bicolor (sorghum). Its description in RNAcentral is "long non-coding RNA (SBIC_LNC001424)". Lineage: Eukaryota; Viridiplantae; Streptophyta; Magnoliopsida; Poales; Poaceae. The record is from RNAcentral.